UCUCUACAAGUCCUCAAUACAAAGAGUAGGGAGGGCUGAAGGGCCAAUAGAAACAGUGAAGAUGGGUGAAUGUAUACAAACCAAAAACUUCUCACGCCAUCAUCCUUGAUCCAUUUCUUUCUUCUGCAUACCUCUCCCAGCCAAACUUUGGAGGUGACAUGGCCUCCAAGUCUGGCAGAAUGUACAGUGACAUAUCAUCUCCAUCUAUAAAUCCUUGUGCUCUCUCUCCACUUUCGUCUUAUGCUUAACGGUGUAUAUAAAUGGCACACAGGGUUGAAGCCAGGCAAACCAAUCCGGAAAAAUAGAUCAAAUAUUAAUUGUUGCUUUUUUGUAAUGGGCAGCUCCUUGCUUUGGGAAUGGUUUCCCAUAUCAGAGAAACUUAACCGGCAAAAACUACUAAAUAUUUUCUGUUAACCAUUUUAAGCCAAUCAUGUAUGAGUCCAAAAUUAUUUGGAUUAGUUUAGUCAGAACUGUUACACUUUUAGCUAGAUAUUUCUAGUACAGGCAAAUCUGCUGUGACGAUAAUUACUUGGCGUCUAAGUUCUGCAGAUUCUGGUUUGCCCUUGGUUCAUUAAUUUGCUGUAAAUUCUGCAGAAUGGUUCUCUAUGCAAUGCAUCGGAUACUUGCUACUUUAUUUUCAUUC
Long non-coding RNA from Manihot esculenta (cassava), 643 nucleotides. RefSeq lists it as uncharacterized. The record is from RefSeq and is a predicted model, not a curated record. Lineage: Eukaryota; Viridiplantae; Streptophyta; Magnoliopsida; Malpighiales; Euphorbiaceae. The transcript is spliced from 2 exons.